Long non-coding RNA from Temnothorax curvispinosus, 535 nucleotides. RefSeq lists it as uncharacterized. The record is from RefSeq and is a predicted model, not a curated record. Lineage: Eukaryota; Metazoa; Arthropoda; Insecta; Hymenoptera; Formicidae. The transcript is spliced from 4 exons.
UAAUUUGGACUCAGAAAUAACGUUGGUAGUAUAUUAAUUUUCUGUUGUUAUAAUGUUAUCGUUUUAUAUUGUGCGCAACGCUCAUCGCGACAGCCAUGAUGUACAUGAUUAUCCUACAUACGAUGCGUGAGUGCGUAUACACGUGUGUCAAUCGAGGAGUGCGGAGUGCUCUUUAUUUACAGCAUAUUUAUAUAUAAGUAGGCAAUGAAUAUGUCUUAACAUAUGGGAUCAAUUGUUGUAUCAAAUUCAAAAAACCACCAUUUGAAAAAUUUGACCCUGGCUAAGAUAACCAUCAGUGAACAAUAUAUUAUAAGGAAAAACUCUGUACAAGAUACUAGAAAUGCUAAAAGAUGACCAAGAAGCUUUUACACAAGUCAGGCUAUUAGACAACAAUCCCUUGUAAUACAGAGAAAGACUUGGAACACUCUAUAAUGGAAUAGCUUAGAUUUGCAAACAUCCGUAAACAAAGGAAAAAAUCUUAAAAGCAACUGUUUGGUAAAGAUCCGGAAAGAUUAAUAAUCUGUUUAAAAGGAAA